CUUCAUUGAUCCGAUGUCAAUCGCUCGUUUUGCCCACAUAUCAGCCAUCUCAUUGCCGUUAAUACCACAGUGGCUUGGAACCCACCCGAGAACAAUAUGUAGGCCCCUUGAUUCACACCUACGUAGCAAAGCUUUGAUUUCGAGAAUCAAUGGAAAUUUUGCUUUGAAUUUGAAUUGGUUGCCUACAAUAGCCUGCAGGCAACUCCUACUAUCAGAGAUGAUAAUGGUGUUUUUAAUAUUGUGGGUCUCUGCAUAUUUGACAGCCUCAAGAAUAGCAACUGCCUCGCCUGUGAAAAUGGAUGCUUGAGGAGGACAUUUAAAUGGGAGGGCAAUAUUGUACCGAGGAAUCCACACCGCUGCUCCCACACAUUUUGUAGGAUCCACCUUUGAAGCGUCAGUAAAAACCGUGACCUCCAGUGCCAGUGCCCGCAAGCGUGGAAGCAACAAGUGGUUGUUGUAAGAGCUGGCUUUGAUCAAGAACCUGUCGGCAAGAUAUUGUCUGCGGAGAGACAAAGGAGGUUCAACAGCUUCUACCUGCAUGCCAUUUUUGGGAGAAGGAAGCAUAGCACCCAGUAUGAUCCUUAAACAUUUUGCCUGUAUGAGGUCUAAUUUAUCUAGGCCAUCCUUAUUGCAAGGUUCCAUUAGAAAUGACCCAUAGUCUAUAUGGCUGCGUAUGAUGGCAUUGUAUAGUAGCUUCUGGCAAUAAGGGUGAGAGCCCCACCAAACACCUGAUAAUGCUCGCAGAAUAUUAAUAUUUUUUUCACAUUUACUCAGUACAUAUUUGUGAUGUGAGGAGGCCGACAUUUUGUGGUCUAAAAUAACACCUAGAAAUUUUACUGACUCUUUACUUGGUAUCAUGACACCACCAUAACGGACAUCUGCAGGAGGCAUGAUCCUUCUGCGACUGAAAGUCACUAAACAACUUUUUGUUGGCGAUAGGGUAAGACCAUGUUCAUCAAGCCAAUCUUUGAGGUAACCCAGCGCUGUAUUCAGACUAGCAGUGGCUUUGUCCAUUGAGUUUGCUGAGGUGUAUAAGACCAGAUCAUCAGCAUACUGCAAGACAUUACAGAAGGAAAGGACAGAUUGUUCCAAGUCGUAGGUGUAGAUACUGUAAAGCAGGGGGCUGAGUACAGAUCCUUGCGGGAGACCUCGCCACAAAGUCCGAGGCGGGUAAUAGGAAUUACCAUUUCUAAUUUUAAUUGACCUACCCAUGAAUAAGUUGGUGACAAUAUGUACAAUCUUCGCGGGAAUGCUCAGAUGAAGCAUUUUUGCCCUGAGCACCGGAAGAAGGACAUUGUCGUAGGCCGCAGAGAUAUCUAGGAAACAUCCCAGAAGAUAUUCGUUUUUCGAAAAGCUUAGUCGGAUAUCAGUUGCUAAAAUGUUUAAACUGUCCAUUGUACUACGGCCCUUUCGGAAGCCAAACUGCGUGUCAGCUAGAAUACCUUUGUUUUCCACAAACCAUUCGAGUCUGUUUUUAACCAGAUGUUCCAGUAUCUUUCCCAUUGUCGCGGACAGGGCAAUCGGGCGAUAUGAGCUAGCCUCGUCUGGGUUUUUAGACGGUUUUAGGAUUGGAAUAAUGACUUGGGUCUUCCAGUCAACAGGGAUCUCUCCCGUGCCAAAGGCAUGGUUUAGAAUACCAAGCAGGUACUCCUGUGAGGAUGUAUUUAACUUAGAUAGGAAACAGUAUGGUAUGCCAUCCUCUCCCGAAGAGGUUCGGGGGAAGGAGAUGGAAGAAUAGAAGAAGGCUUGGUGAUAAUAAUCGGGAAAUGGUCACUGCCAAACGACUGGCGUAAUACCCUCCAGGAUAGUAAAGAAGACAAACUCGGGGAACAGACAGAUAAAUCGGGAACUGAUUGGGGGUUCUGGCCUGGGUAUACCCGAUGCGUGGGAGUUCCGUCAUUAACAACUCCUACAUUGAUUUCAUCGAACAAAUCCAGCAGGGCUGAUGAAAACGCAUCCGAAUGGUAUGACCCCCAGGACAUAUUGUGACAAUUAAAGUCCCCUAAAAUCAUAAGAGGAGGUGGAAUCGAUUUGAGAAUAGAUUGUAAUUCAUGCAUAUUAACUACUUCAGGAUGGGGGAUAUAUAUAGAGAUGAAAUUAAUGCCCAUAACCCUGGCAGCUACGGCAUUAAUCCCAUCCGAGUGAGGGGGGAUAUGAAUUUGGGAGAAAGGGUAACUGCGCUUGAUCAACAACGCACAUCCGGCGUGUCCAUCAUUACGGUCCUCCCGGAGACAUGAGAAGCCCGGCACUCUGAGAAGAGUGCCGGGACGUAACCACGUCUCCGAAAUAGCCGCAACAGACACAGCAUAGGUGUUGAUGAGCUGAAUAAGGUCAGGUUUUUUUGGGACAAUGCUUCGGCUAUUCCAUUGUAGAAAUGUGACCGGGGGGGCCGUUGUUGUGAAAUGUAAGUCUUUCAGCGAGUGUGAUCAUUAAGGGCGCAACGUCGUUCGGUAGGCAAUCGCUCCACUUAGCGAUUAUGUUUGUUAAAAAUUUUAAACAGAGCUCCAUUAGGUCUUCAUUGUGGGUGAUUCUAUUGUAAGAACUAUUCAGAGCUUGGCCAUUGGGGAGUUGAGGUGGGGGAGUUCGGACAAUAUUGUUGUGGGCUUCUCUAUCAUAACCCGGAGAGAGAGAGACCCUCGUUCGGGGCGCUCGAUAUACGGUUUUACGAUAUGAAGUGGUGGGCGGAGGAGAAGGAGAUGGCCUGAAAGUAUUAGGGUCGCAUGGGGGCUGUGAAGAUCGGGAAGAGUCUGUAACCUGUUCAAACAUGAUUCUUGCUACAUCUGAAUAUGGCUUACGAACCGCUGAGAACUGUAUUGCUGCUUCUGCGUAUGAGACAUUCUGCUCAGACAUGGCAAGUUUAAUGGACUUUUGUCGACCAUAUUCAUUGCAUACUUUGUCUGUAGCUAAGUGUCUGCCUGAACAGAAUAUACACGUCACAUGUUCUGGAGCUACAUUGCAUCCAUCACCGGGGUGUUUUUGUGCACACUUAUAACAUCUAGCAUCAGACCGGCACUGUGUUUGAAUAUGUCCGAACCUAAGGCACUUUCUGCAUUGAAUAAUUGGCAGUUGAUAUACUUCUACAACUAGUGAGGUGUAGUAGGCGAAAAUUUUUGACGGUAAGGAUUGUCCUUCAAAGGUAACCACCACCGACUGGGUUGGUGCCCAGGAUGGGGAUCCAUCAUCUUUUGUCACUUUCCGCUGCAGACGGCGAGCCUUAAGGAUUUUUCCUUUGCCUUCUUUGAGGUUUGUACCAUUGACUAAAUCCUCCAUAGUCCAAUCCGAAGGAACUCCCCGUAUAACUCCCAUACGCGAUACAUGGUAUGAGGGAAUAUCAGCUAUAAACUUAUUUUGGGCUAGUAGCGGGUGCUUUAAGAGGCUAUUUGCAUCAGCUGCUGUGGUGAAAGUAACUGCUACUCUGUUGCGACCUACUGACUUAAUACCACCUUCUUUUUGGAUGUUGUUAACCUUUGCUUGAGUAAGCAAAAGGCCUACAUUGAUGGGUUUUAGGGAAGCAUUGGAAGAUGGUACAGACUCUCUAGAGACGUGAACUAUAAAUGGUCCACCAUCUUCGGCAUUGUACUCUCGGUAUUUGCUGUCCAGACUGGGGUGUUUGUAUAAAUGUGGGUUGAACUCGA
Molecule: long non-coding RNA, 3635 nt
Organism: Cydia strobilella
Lineage: Eukaryota; Metazoa; Arthropoda; Insecta; Lepidoptera; Tortricidae
Exons: 3
Source: RefSeq, a predicted model, not a curated record